RNAcentral lists this small RNA (308 nucleotides) under Histoplasma capsulatum var. duboisii H88. Its description in RNAcentral is "Histoplasma capsulatum H88 hypothetical RNA". Lineage: Eukaryota; Fungi; Ascomycota; Eurotiomycetes; Onygenales; Ajellomycetaceae. The record is from RNAcentral.
UCAACAUUCAAAGACAGCAGAGCUUCUUAUAUGGAAGAAAGAGUUCUUUUAGUUAUCAAGGAACUUGGCUUAUAUCAAAUUUCAACAAACACAAGGCCCCGAACGAGCCGAAUCCUUCAAAUUAGAAAAUGCAAAUACUCAUGAUCAAUUUGUUACGCGAUGGCUCCAAGAGGGGCCUCAAAAUCGUCAUGUAGGGGUAACCCAUGUGGGAAGCUGUAAGGUAGGGCUUGACUAUCUUGAUGAAGAAUGAGCAAGACAUUUAUGCAAGACAGUGAAAAGAUUAGAUAUUCCAGGAAGAUAUCAAGAAC